Molecule: unclassified non-coding RNA, 613 nt
Filed under: Hevea brasiliensis (rubber tree)
Lineage: Eukaryota; Viridiplantae; Streptophyta; Magnoliopsida; Malpighiales; Euphorbiaceae
Source: RNAcentral
AGCAAAUGAUGAUCAUCCAUCACAUGAUGUUGCUGAUGGACAGAAAUUAGUUAAGGAGAUUUAUGAGACAUUGAGAGCUAGCCCUCAGUGGAAUGAGACACUUUUUGUUAUAACUUAUGAUGAACAUGGUGGAUUUUAUGAUCAUGUUAAAACUCCUUAUGGUGAUGUUCCAAAUCCAGAUGGAAAUACUGGGCCUGCACCUUCUUUCUUUAAGUUUGAUCGGCUUGGUGUUCGUGUUCCAACGAUUAUGGUCUCUCCUUGGAUCAAGAAAGGAACUGUAAUAACCAAGCCAAAAGGACCUACACCAAAUUCCGAAUUCGAACACUCAUCGAUUCCAGCAACAAUAAAGAAAAUAUUCAAUCUUUCAUCGAAUUUUCUAACUCAUAGAGAUGCUUGGGCAGGCACAUUUGAACAUGUUGUAGCUCAAUUGUCAUCUCCAAGAACAGACUGCCCCGAGGUUCUACCUGAUGCAUCUCCUUUGAGAAGCACAACUACGGAAGCUGAUGAAACUCGGGCAUUGUCCGAGUUUCAGAGCGAAGUAGUGCAAUUAGCAGCUGUGUUGAAUGGGGACCAUUUUUUGAGCAGUUUUCCACAUGAAAUGGGGAAGAAAAUG